GAUGAACGCUGGCGGCGUGCCUAAUACAUGCAAGUCGAGCGAACAGAUGAGGAGCUUGCUCCUCUGACGUUAGCGGCGGACGGGUGAGUAACACGUGGAUAACCUACCUAUAAGACUGGGAUAACUUCGGGAAACCGGAGCUAAUACCGGAUAAUAUAUUGAACCGCAUGGUGCAAUAGUGAAAGACGGUUUUGCUGUCACUUAUAGAUGGAUCCGCGCCGCAUUAGCUAGUUGGUAAGGUAACGGCUUACCAAGGCAACGAUGCGUAGCCGACCUGAGAGGGUGAUCAGCCACACUGGAACUGAGACACGGUCCAGACUCCUACGGGAGGCAGCAGUAGGGAAUCUUCCGCAAUGGGCGAAAGCCUGACGGAGCAACGCCGCGUGAGUGAUGAAGGUCUUCGGAUCGUAAAACUCUGUUAUUAGGGAAGAACAAAUGUGUAAGUAACUAUGCACGUCUUGACGGUACCUAAUCAGAAAGCCACGGCUAACUACGUG
Molecule: ribosomal RNA, 497 nt
Filed under: uncultured bacterium
Lineage: Bacteria
Description: partial 16S ribosomal RNA
Rfam family: Bacterial small subunit ribosomal RNA
Source: RNAcentral